CCUACGGGAGGCAUCAGUGAGGAAUAUUGGACAAUGGGCGCAAGCCUGAUCCAGCCAUGCCGCGUGCAGGAAGACGGUCCUAUGGAUUGUAAACUGCUUUUAUACAGGAAGAAACACCUCUACGUGUAGAGACUUGACGGUACUGUAUGAAUAAGCAUCGGCUAACUCCGUGCCAGCAGCCGCGGUAAUACGGAGGAUGCAAGCGUUAUCCGGAAUCAUUGGGUUUAAAGGGUCCGUAGGCGGUUUAAUAAGUCAGUGGUGAAAGCCCAUCGCUCAACGAUGGAACGGCCAUUGAUACUGUUAAACUUGAAUUAUUAGGAAGUAACUAGAAUAUGUAGUGUAGCGGUGAAAUGCUUAGAGAUUACAUGGAAUACCAAUUGCGAAGGCAGGUUACUACUAAUAUAUUGACGCUGAUGGACGAAAGCGUGGGGAGCGAACAGGAUUAGAUACCCUGGUAGUCCACGCCGUAAACGAUGGAUACUAGCUGUUCGGAGCAAUCUGAGUGGCUAAGCGAAAGUGAUAAGUAUCCCACCUGGGGAGUACGUUCGCAAGAAUGAAACUUAAAGGAAUUGACGG
This 576-nucleotide ribosomal RNA is filed under the name uncultured bacterium. RNAcentral describes it as "bacterial SSU rRNA". It matches the Rfam family "Bacterial small subunit ribosomal RNA", at positions 338 to 916 of the family's 1533-position model. The record is from RNAcentral.